AUCUUUAUUUACAAAUUUAUUUAAAACAAUAUUAUAUUAGUAAAAGAAUCGAAUUUAUUCAAGGUCUAAGUACUGAAAAGGAAAGUCUACUAAUUACAAAGAAGUUAUUGUUUGUACCUUUUGUAUCAGGGUUUAUGAAAUUUCAAUCUUUAUUGGCGCCUCCGGCAAAAUUCCCCCGGACAAGCCAAUGGUGAUCUAUAUUUGGUUAAAAGAAUGAAUUGUUUUCAUAAAUCUCUUUCGAGACCAAUAUCGUUUGCGAAAAAAUAUUUUCGUACCUUUUAUAUCUGGUUGGCAGAAUACUCCUUUUAGGGUACUCCGCAAGGAAGAUUUUUCUAGGGGGACGGAGGCUCUAGAAAGGAUUAUAUUUAUCCUUAUCAAGAAAAGACCGUGGACUAGGUCUUUAUCAGUCUGCCUCGGUCUUAGUUAGGCGCAUUGUUUAAGUCAGAAUGCAUUCAAUGUGCUCGCAUUAUUUGAAUUACGCUACUUGAUCCGGAUGCUACUUACAUAGAUUUAGCGAUCGACAGUGAUAGAAUUAGUAGAACUAUAAAUGCACUUAACACAAUAUUCCUCACAAAAUCCCAAAGGAAUUCGGCAAAACUCAUCUCCGCCUGUUUAACAAAGACAUCGCCUCUUAACUUUGGGAGGUCGAGCCUGCCCACUGAUGAAUUAAAGGGCCGUGGUAUACUGACCAUGCGAAGGUAGCAUAAUCAUUAGCCUUUUGAUUUGAGGCUGGAAUGAAUGGUUUGACGAGAGAUGGUCUGUCUCUUCGAUUAAAUUGAAGUUAAUCUUUAAGUGAAAAAGCUUAAAUGUACUUGGAGGGCGAUAAGACCCUAUAGAUCUUUACAUUUAAUUCUUUUGUCUUGCGGUAGGUAAUUAGACAGAGUAAAACAAUGUUCGGUUGGGGCGACGGUAAGAACAGAAUAAACACUUACAACAUAAACACAUCAAUAAAUGACCAUUGAUCCUUAGAUGAAUAAAGACCAAGUUACCUUAGGGAUAACAGCGUAAUUCUUUUUGAGAGUUCAAAUCGACAAAAGAGUUUGCGACCUCGAUGUUGGUUCAGGGACCCUACUCGGUGCAGCAGCCUAGAGAGGCAGUACGACGUAC
This 1107-nucleotide ribosomal RNA is filed under the name Artemia franciscana. RNAcentral describes it as "partial 16S ribosomal RNA". The stretch from base 456 to 1107 matches the Rfam family "Archaeal large subunit ribosomal RNA", at positions 1423 to 2654 of the family's 2987-position model. The record is from RNAcentral. Lineage: Eukaryota; Metazoa; Arthropoda; Branchiopoda; Anostraca; Artemiidae.